GACGAACGCUGGCGGCGUGCUUAACACAUGCAAGUCGAACGGAAAGGCCCUGCUUUUGUGGGGUGCUCGAGUGGCGAACGGGUGAGUAACACGUGAGUAACCUGCCCUUGACUUUGGGAUAACUUCAGGAAACUGGGGCUAAUACCGGAUAGGAGCUCCUGCUGCAUGGUGGGGGUUGGAAAGUUUCGGCGGUUGGGGAUGGACUCGCGGCUUAUCAGCUUGUUGGUGGGGUAGUGGCUUACCAAGGCUUUGACGGGUAGCCGGCCUGAGAGGGUGACCGGCCACAUUGGGACUAAGAUACGGCCCAGACUCCUACGGGAGGCAGCAGUGGGGAAUAUUGCACAAUGGGCGGAAGCCUGAUGCAGCAACGCCGCGGGCGGGAUGACGACCUUCGGGUUGUAAACCGCUUUCGCCUGUGACGAAGCGUGAGUGACGGUAAUGGGUAAAGAAGCACCGGCUAACUACGUG
This 468-nucleotide ribosomal RNA is filed under the name uncultured bacterium. RNAcentral's name for it is "partial 16S ribosomal RNA". It matches the Rfam family "Bacterial small subunit ribosomal RNA", at positions 28 to 507 of the family's 1533-position model. The record is from RNAcentral.